AAGAUUUUUUUUUUUAAUAUAAAAAAGGGAAAACAAUUAAAUUGAGAAAGUUAAGAACAAAAGAAAUCAAAAAAGCAGAAAGAAAAGAGAAGAGAAAAAAGAGGCAUAGCAAUCUAAGUAUCUUUGGGGACAAUGUCACUUGAUUCUGUGCUUUAAUUUUCAAUAUUUUGAAAUAUUUUGGUUGACUAUGCAGAUGCUAUGUGAGGAAUGCAGU
Molecule: unclassified non-coding RNA, 214 nt
Filed under: Hevea brasiliensis (rubber tree)
Lineage: Eukaryota; Viridiplantae; Streptophyta; Magnoliopsida; Malpighiales; Euphorbiaceae
Source: RNAcentral